This 43-nucleotide ribosomal RNA is filed under the name Capsaspora owczarzaki. RNAcentral's name for it is "partial 28S ribosomal RNA". Lineage: Eukaryota; Filasterea; Ministeriida; Capsasporidae. The record is from RNAcentral.
AUGAUCUCAAGUCAGACAAGAGUACUCGGUGAAUUUAAGCAUA